Non-coding RNA from Nematostella vectensis (starlet sea anemone), 1320 nucleotides. The record is from Rfam. Lineage: Eukaryota; Metazoa; Cnidaria; Anthozoa; Actiniaria; Edwardsiidae.
UUGUCUAGGUGUAGAUGGUGGAGCAUUGUUCUCUAUUUGUUGGAUUUCAGGGGGGUAACAAUGGGGUCAACCAGUCUCACAAACUGGAUCAAACUGGAUCUCCAGGUUUUAGGCUUCUAUGUUCUUUUAAAUUAGGUUAUUUGCAGUUUGGAGUUAUUUUGGCGGUUUCAUGCGCUCUGCCUUGAUUUAUUUGAUUUCUUUUUUUUUAUUCUUCAAACGGCUUUUAAAAAUACAAACAUAGAUAAAACGAUAUACUGUCUAUCAACAAAAUGAGAAAAACUCAACACACACGUACAAGUUAAUCGAUUUUGCAGAUUACAGUCUAACAGAGAGUAACUGUACAGUCUUACAGAAACUGUUACAAUAUUAUUAUUGUGUAAAAGUUGAUACGAUACCUCGAUUUUACGAUAUAUUUUCUUUUUUCCGAGGCAUAUCGUUAAAUCCAGGUUCCACUCACUGUAUCAAGAGAGCAAAAAUAUAUAUGCUUCCUGUUGCAAUAGAUAUGAAGAGAGGUGGUCUAAAAGGACAAUAUUACAUCCUUCAGAAAGAAAUUAUUACAUCCUUCAAAAAUACUCUGGAUACCCAUGGAACCUAUGAGGAAAUAUGAACUUUAGAGAGACCAAUCACAAUGGGGCAAUUGUAGGGUAGUAACCAAUCAGUUUGCAUGAACUAUAGGGUGACCAAUCACAAUGGGGGAUUUCUAGCGUAACCAAUUAGCUUUCACCCUGAAAUCAGCUUGCCUGGAGAUAGGGUGUAAUGCUCGGUAAAGCACCACACUUCUUGUGGUGUCCGGUGCGCUCUCGACGGCCCUUGAAAAUUCGGGGAAGACAUUGAUUUUCGUGUCCGGUCGUACUCAUAACCGCAGCAGGUCUCCAAGGUGAGCAGCCUCUGGUUGAUAGAACAAUGUAGGUAAGGGAAGUCGGCAAAAUAGAUCCGUAACUUCGGGAAGAGGAUUGGCUCUAAGGGUUGGGUCUGUCGGCUAAGACUUGAAGCCAGUGGACCCGGCCCGGACUGGCCGAGGCCCAUCCGGGUCGAAGCUGGACCCGGGAAGGGGCUGUUGGUGGAUUGGCCCACCUAUGGUCGCGAGGCCAAUUCGGCAGGCAAUGAACAACCAACUUAGAACUGGCAGUGACUAGGGGAAUCCGACUGUUUAAUUAAAACUGCAGGGCGACUUCGACUCGAACAAAGUUACAGGGGUAAUAGACUGUGCUAGCGUCCCGUCUUGGCCCGACUGGUGCCAAUGUGUGUAAGCUAGUGUGCUUUUAAAGUCCACAGUUAUGUAUACAUACUCGCAAGGAUAUUUUGGCUAUCCGACGGAGU